GGAGUCUGGGCCGUAUCUCAGUCCCAAUGUGGCCGUUCAACCUCUCAGUCCGGCUACUGAUCGUCGCCUUGGUAGGCCUUUACCCCACCAACUAGCUAAUCAGACGCAAGCCCAUCUAUCAGCGGAUUUCUCCUUUCCCUAUUGUAACAUGUGUUACUUAGGCAUAUGCGGUAUUAGCAGUCAUUUCUAACUGUUGUUCCCCUCUGAUAGGCAGGUUGCUUACGUGUUACUCACCAGUCCGCCACUAAAGCCAUUGCUAUAAUUCUUCUUCAAGUCCCUUUGAACAAGUUCUCCGUUCAUUUCCAAAUCAGUAUAACGACUUCCGUUCGACUUGCAUGUCUUAUGUGCGCCGCCAGCGUUUAUC
RNAcentral lists this ribosomal RNA (364 nucleotides) under uncultured Oscillospiraceae bacterium. RNAcentral describes it as "partial 16S ribosomal RNA". Lineage: Bacteria; Bacillati; Bacillota; Clostridia; Eubacteriales; Oscillospiraceae. The record is from RNAcentral.